AAAACCACAGUAGAGUUGCCAAAUAAGUAUAUAAAUAACUUACAGUUUAGGUACCAGGAGAACCAAUUUAAGGCUUAAGGCAACUAACCUCUAAUUCUCUUGGUCUUAUGAGUAGACUUUGCUCGUUUCUUCACUGAUACUGUGUUUUUCUAUCAGUCACACAGAACCUCACAAAUGCAUUACUCUCCUUUAUAUAACAUGAAAUAAACAUCUCUAAGAAAAAUAAAGGAAAUGUGAUAGUUUUAACUGUCAAGUUGGCACAAUCUAGAAUCACUUCAGAGAAGUAUAAAUAGGAGGCAUUAGAGAUCAGCUUUGCCUCUGGGAGAUGAUAUUGACUAUUUAAGGAAUGAGUGCCCCACUGUGGGUGGCAGCAUUCCCUAGGCAGGAGAUCUUUAAGUGUUUAAGAGUAGAGACAGAUGACCACUGGCAUUCAUGAGUUAAUUCAUUGCUCCUAAGUCUUAAUAGUGGAUCUAAUAGAAUUAGUGGCUUCAAGUUUCUGCCUUGACUUCCCUGAAAUGGUGGAUUAUAAACUUGAACUGUGAGCCAAGCAAACCCUUUUCUCCUCUAUGUUUCUCUUUCUCAAGAUAUUUUAUCCCAGCCAUGGGCAAAAGUAAGAAUAGGUAUUUGGGCAAUAAAUAACAUUAUUUUACUUAUGUUUUCAGAGAAUCCAACAUUGUGUUUUAGUACAUUUAUAGAUUGCCAUUAUACUUAAAAUACUCUUUGAAAAUUACGACCAUGUAUGUCAGGCAUUUUUUUUAAUAUUCUAUGAUUCUUUCCUUUCUCCCCUUCCCCUCAUUUUAUUAAAAUAAUAUUCUUUUCUCGUCCAUUAUAUCCUGAUUACUGUUUCCCCUCCUUUUAUUCCUCCUAGUUCUUGCCCACCUCCCCUCCCAUCUGAAUCUACCCUCUUUCAGUCUCUCAUUACAAAGAACAGGCUUCUAAGAGAUAACAACAAAACAUAACAAAAUAAAAUAUAAAUUAAAGCAAACACAGUCUCAUCAAAGUUGGAGAAGCCAAACCAACAGAAGGAAGAGAACACCAAGAGAAGUCACAAAGAUCAGAGACCCAUUUAUUCACACACUCACGUGUCCCAUAGUAAUACUAAACUAAAAGCUAUAAAAUGAAUGUCCAGGGCCUGGUGCAUACCCAUUUAGGUUCUGUGCUUGCUGCUUCAAUCUCUGUGAGUUUAUAUGAGCUAUGUUUAUUGUAUUCAGAGGGUUUUUUUCUCCUGGUUUCCCUCAUCUCUGCCUUCUACACUCACUCUGCCUCAUUUUCCACUAAAACACCCUACCAUACUGCCAUUUACACAGGAUCUGUUCUUGAUACAUGCUUGCUAAUUUGAAUAAAAGUGAAUACCUGAAGAUAUUCCCUUAUCAACCUGCCAACAUUUUUUUCUAUGUAGGAACAAGCAUCCAAUACUGGUGCUAGUGCCCCAACAUAGGUGUUGAUGGUAUUUGUUUGGAUCCAGGAAUGGCUGCCUUCAGCAAACAUUCAUGGGUGAUUUUAUUAGCCAUCAUUGGGAAGCACUGUUUAUGUCAUGAGUGCAUCUCCUGUUUAAAUCUAAGUAGUUAGAUCUUUAUGUGGGGAAAGACUAAAAGGAAUAGGGAUUCUCUGACCAACUAAAAUAAACAGCAUAUAUAAUUCACUACUUUUUUUGGCUAAAUCACAGUAAUAUGACAGUGUUUUUAAUCCAAUUGGAACAAUUUCUACAUUCUGUAAAGCAGAUUUCUGCCUACACUUCAGGGUCCUUUUCCACAUUCUCUGUUUCUCCUUACCAAGUGAGCUACUGUGUAGAACAGCAGACACAAGUAGGGGUAGCUAACACAGCAAAAUGCCCUGUGUACUGCAUUCUGUAGCAAUCAAAAUAAGAAAGUGGGAAUUUAAUAAAAAUCUUUAAUUUGUUGUUUUAAGGAAUUAAUGUUUGCUGUAAUUUUUUUCCUCUUUCAUGGUAACAUCUGAUUUUAAAUAUCCAUUUAAUCAUUCUGUAACUAAGACUGAAUUAUACUGGAACUUUCUCAGAAGCAUUUGUGGCACGAAUUUGAAUGCAAAGUAUAUUCAUUAUAGUCAUUUCAAUUAAAAUGAAUAUCAAAUGAGGCUGUAAUAGCUAUGCACUUAAAUGUUAUUUUUGUUUUAAGAGGCUUACUCUCCAGAUGUCACUUGGGGCUCUGUAACUUCUAAAACACAUAGAACUAAGAAUUAAAAGGCACAUGGAGCUUGUGAAUGUAUACAGACAAGUAUUUGCUUGUGCCAUACCAUUAGCUAGCAACUGUAGAUUUAUUCAUUCAGUAUUGGUUUCUUACAACUUUUAUAAGGAGGGUAACGUGUGGCUUAUGGUAUUAUCUCCAUUGUUGUUACAAAAUUUGAAUCACUUUAAAAAUAAUGCUUUGGAGACUAAGGAGAUAACUCAGUUAGUAAAGGGCUUGUCAUACAGGCAUAAGGAUCUGUGACCUGUGUUUGAUCCCCAGAAACCCCUCCCCCAAAAAAAUAACC
This 2487-nucleotide long non-coding RNA is filed under the name Mus musculus (house mouse). Its description in RNAcentral is "long non-coding RNA chr6:46486642-46489129". The record is from RNAcentral. Lineage: Eukaryota; Metazoa; Chordata; Mammalia; Rodentia; Muridae.